CUGCUUGCAUUGUAACUAUCCCAGCUGGAUGGACACAAUCGCAGAAGGAUAUGAGGCUACUGUAUCAAAACCAAAUCUGGACAAACACUGUGUAUACA
Long non-coding RNA from Sapajus apella (tufted capuchin), 98 nucleotides. RefSeq lists it as uncharacterized. The record is from RefSeq and is a predicted model, not a curated record. The transcript is spliced from 3 exons. Lineage: Eukaryota; Metazoa; Chordata; Mammalia; Primates; Cebidae.